This 920-nucleotide ribosomal RNA is filed under the name uncultured archaeon. Its description in RNAcentral is "bacterial SSU rRNA". It matches the Rfam family "Archaeal small subunit ribosomal RNA", at positions 1 to 922 of the family's 1478-position model. The record is from RNAcentral.
UUCCGGUUGAUCCUGCCGGAGGCCGUUGCUAUUGGAGUCCGAUUUAGCCAUGCUAGUCGCACGGGUUCAGACCCGUGGCGAAUAGCUCCGUAACACGUGGCCAAACUACCCUAUGGAUCGGAAUAACCUCGGGAAACUGAGGCUAAUACCGAAUACCGCUCUCAUCCUGGAACUGGAGAGAGCACCAAACGCUCCGGCGCCAUAGGAUGUGGCUGCGGCCGAUUAGGUAGACGGUGGGGUAACGGCCCACCGUGCCGAUAAUCGGUACGGGUUGUGAGAGCAAGAGCCCGGAGACGGUAUCUGAGACAAGAUACCGGGCCCUACGGGGCGCAGCAGGCGCGAAACCUUUACACUGCACGAACGUGCGAUAAGGGGACUCCAAGUGCGAGGGCAUACAGUCCUCGCUUUUCUGUACCGUAAGGUGGUACAGGAAUAAGAGCUGGGCAAGACCGGUGCCAGCCGCCGCGGUAAUACCGGCAGCUCGAGUGAUGGCCAAUAUUAUUGGGCCUAAAGCGUCCGUAGCUGGCCGAACAGGUCCGUCGGGAAAUCCGCUCGCUCAACGAGCGGACGUCCGGCGGAAACCAGUCGGCUUGGGACCGGAAGACCCGAGGGGUACGGCCGGGGUAGGAGUGAAAUCCUGUAAUCCUGGCCGGACCACCGGUGGCGAAAGCGCCUCGGGAAGACGGAUCCGACAGUGAGGGACGAAAGCUAGGGUCACGAACCGGAUUAGAUACCCGGGUAGUCCUAGCUGUAAACGAUGCUCGCUAGGUGUGGCACUGGCUACGAGCCAGUGCUGUGCCGUAGGGAAGCCGAGAAGCGAGCCGCCUGGGAAGUACGUCCGCAAGGAUGAAACUUAAAGGAAUUGGCGGGGGAGCACUACAACCGGAGGAGCCUGCGGUUUAAUUGGACUCAACGCCGGA